Salmo salar (Atlantic salmon) is the source of this 72-nucleotide non-coding RNA. NCBI's taxonomy places the organism in Eukaryota, Metazoa, Chordata, Actinopteri, Salmoniformes, Salmonidae. The record is from Rfam.
UCCCUUGUGGCUCAGUUGGUAGAGCAUGGUGUUUGCAACGCCAGGGUUGUGGGUUUGAUUCCCACGGGGGAC